This is a long non-coding RNA of Anser cygnoides (Swan goose), 1620 nucleotides long. NCBI's taxonomy places the organism in Eukaryota, Metazoa, Chordata, Aves, Anseriformes, Anatidae. The record is from Ensembl.
GCCCUCGGGUGCCGCGUGCACGGGGACGUGCAAAGCUCCUCGUGCGUGCAAAAGUGCCACGUGCGUGUGUGCGGCGCGUGCAAGCGCGCUCCGUGCACGCUCAUGGCACGCGUGGUGCGUGCAAAGUUGCAAACUGUGCUCUGUGCGUGCAAACCUUGCUCCGUGCAGGCUCUUGGUGCACGUUCUGGGUGCAAAACUGCUCGGUGCACACUCCCGGUGCACGAUUUGCGUGCAAACCUUGCUCCGUGCACGCUCUUGGUGCACGUUCUGGGUGCAAAACUGCUCGGUGCACGCUCCCGGUGCACGACUUGCGUGCAAAGCUUGCUUGGUGCAUGCUCCCAGUGCACAUUGUGCACGCAAACCUUGCUCCGUGCAUGCUCCCAGUGCACACUGCGCUUGGAAACUGUGCUCGGUGCAUGCUCUCGGUGCAUAUUCUGGGUGCCAAACUGCUCCGUGCAUGCUCCUGGUGCAUGAUUUGCAUGCAAACCUUGCUUGGUGCAUGCUCCCAGUGCACACUGCGCUUGCAAACUGUGCCCUGUGCAUGCCCCUGGUGCACGUUCUGCAUGCAAACCUUGCUCUGCGCACGCUCUUGGUGCAUGUUCUGGGUGCAAAACUGUUCCGUGCAUGCCCUUGGUGCACGAUUUGCAAGCAAAGGUGCCCCGUGCACGCUCAGUGCGCACUGUGCUUGCAAACCUUGCUCCGUGCACGCUCCCGGUGCACACUGUGCUUGGAAACUGUGCUCGGUGCAUGCUCCUGGUGCACGUUCUGUGUGCAGACCUUGCUCUGUGCAUGCUCUUGGUGCAUGUGCUGGGCGCAAAACUUGCUCCGUGCACGCUCCCGGUGCACAAUUUGCACACAAACAUGCUCCAUGCGUGCUCACAGGGUGCACUGUGCCCACAGACCCUGCUCCGUGCACCCUCACAGUGCACACUGUGCUUGCAAACUGCGAUCUGGGCCCGCUCCUGGUGCAUGUUCUGCAUGCAAACCCUGCUCAGUGCAUGCCCCUGGUGCACAAUUUGCGUGCAAACCUUGCUUGGUGCAUGCUCCCAGUGCACAUUGUGCAUGCAAACCUUGCUCCAUGCACACUCCUGGUGCACACUGUGCUUGCAAACUGUGCUUGGUGCAUGCAAACCUUGCUCUGUGCUUGCUCUUGGUGCAUGUUCUGGGUGCAAAACUGCUCCGUGCAUGGUCACAGUGCACAAUUUGCAUGCAAACCCUGCUUGGUGCUUGCUCAGUGUGCACUGUGCAUGCAAACCUUGCUCCAUGCACGCUCCCAGCACACAAUUUGCAUGCAAAGCUUGCUCUGCGCACGCUCUUGGUGCAUGUUCUGGGUGCAAAACCGCUCCGUGCAUGCCCUUGGUGCACGAUUUGCAAGCAAAGGUGCCCCGUGCACGCUCAGUGUGCACUGUGCAUGCAAACCUUGUUCCGUGCACGCUCCCAGCGCACACUGCGCUUGCAACCAGUGCUCCGUGCAUGCUCUGGGUGCACGAUUUGCACGCAAACCUUGCUCCGUGCACGCUCUUGGUGCGUGUUCUGGGUGCAAACCUUGCUCGGUGCACGCCCCCGGUGCACGCUUUGCACGCAACCCCUGCUCUGCGCAUGCUCCGUGCACGCCCCCCC